RNAcentral lists this long non-coding RNA (988 nucleotides) under Prunus persica (peach). RNAcentral's name for it is "long non-coding RNA (PPER_LNC007912)". Lineage: Eukaryota; Viridiplantae; Streptophyta; Magnoliopsida; Rosales; Rosaceae. The record is from RNAcentral.
ACAGGGACGGAACAGGUAUUCCCCGAAAAAUCUUAUAGGGUAUCACAUAAUAGAGAGACAAAGAGCCUUCCUCGCGUGGACACCAUUGCUGUCGUGAGAAGGAACGGCUAGUUUAGUGUUUGGAGGUCGGAGACCUCUAGUCAAUGUAGGAUAGGCCAUGCUGCACGCGAUGACUUGGUGAUUGGCGCCGGUGACAGAGCAAGCUGCUUCUUUGUGGUUUUUGUUUUUUGUUUUUUGUUUUUUUUUGCAAUUUUAUCUUCAUUUCUUGACUGCUGGUCCAAGUAGCAAAAAACGAGUGAAUGUCAUCUUGGGCAUUCAGAUUUAAUUCCACCAAGCCAAAAUUGGCUGAAAUAGGCCAGGGUGGUUAGAGAGAAUUUCGCUGGUGAUGCAGCUUGCGAUGAUGAUUUAAGGGUUUCCGAUGAAACCGAUGAUGGGAAGGAAAUGGAUUUCCUUGAUAAAGAUUCAAGAGCAUCGCAUUAAGUAUAUCUCGAAUCUCUCAAUGAAAGCACCAAAUAUGGUUGAGCAAAAUUCCGCACAAGGAAUAUUCGCAGGUUGAUUGCUCGACCUUUGAUCUUUAUUCUCUCUCUUCCUCGAUCCCUGCAAAAUAAACAGGAGUAAAUAGACCACACUUGGGGGGGUGUUGACCAAUGGCCCUCCUAUGCCUAAGUUAGUUCGAUUGGAUCUUGAUAAAGAUAUGAUAAUAGCUAAAGUGGAUGGAGUUUUCUCUCACCGAGAGAGCCGGGUGGUCGGAGCUGUGUGUGGUGGCACUUAGUUGUGUGGGAGAGAGAGGAGAGAGAGUAUCGGCAAGAAAAGGGUUUUUGGGCUGAGAAAGCGUUAUCUUGAAUAUCUUGUGUAGCCAUGUAUUUAUAGGCUCCUUAUCUGCUAGGGUUUGAAGAAUAAUCCUUUUUGGUUAGGAUUAUUCUUACCCAUAAAUAAGAACUUGGAAUUAAUCAAAGAGAUUUGAUGGAAAUCUCAUCCUUGAUUUGGG